AAGGAAAUAGUUAUUUCAUAAUGUCUGGUUUGCAAUCAGAAGGUAUCAAAAGAUUUUUCUUA
RNAcentral lists this transfer RNA (62 nucleotides) under Campodea fragilis. Its description in RNAcentral is "tRNA-Ala". The record is from RNAcentral. Lineage: Eukaryota; Metazoa; Arthropoda; Diplura; Rhabdura; Campodeidae.